This 341-nucleotide ribosomal RNA is filed under the name uncultured bacterium. RNAcentral describes it as "bacterial SSU rRNA". It matches the Rfam family "Bacterial small subunit ribosomal RNA", at positions 139 to 507 of the family's 1533-position model. The record is from RNAcentral.
AGGAAUAAGCCACCGAAAGGUGGUCUAAUACUUCAUAAUAUCCAUCUCGUAUGGAUUAAAGCUUUAUGCGCUUUGGGAGGGGCCUGCGUAACAUUAGCUUGUUGGUGAGGUAAAAGCUCACCAAGGCUUCGAUGUUUAACUGGUUUGAGAGGAUGACCAGUCACACUGGGACUGAGAUACGGCCCAGACUCCUACGGGAGGCAGCAGUAAGGAAUCUUCCACAAUGGGGCAACCCUGAUGGAGCAAUACCGCGUGCAGGAUGAAGCGUUUCGGCGUGUAAACUGCUUUUAUCACCGAAGAUUAUGACUGUAGGUGAAGAAUAAGGACCGGCUAACUACGUG